This 380-nucleotide ribosomal RNA is filed under the name Candidatus Liberibacter solanacearum. RNAcentral's name for it is "bacterial SSU rRNA". It matches the Rfam family "Bacterial small subunit ribosomal RNA", at positions 24 to 429 of the family's 1533-position model. The record is from RNAcentral. Lineage: Bacteria; Pseudomonadati; Pseudomonadota; Alphaproteobacteria; Hyphomicrobiales; Rhizobiaceae.
UCAGAACGAACGCUGGCGGCAGGCUUAACACAUGCAAGUCGAGCGCUUAUUUUUAAUAGGAGCGGCAGACGGGUGAGUAACGCGUGGGAAUCUACCUUUUUCUACGGGAUAACGCACGGAAACGUGUGCUAAUACCGUAUACGCCCUGAGAAGGGGAAAGAUUUAUUGGAGAGAGAUGAGCCCGCGUUAGAUUAGCUAGUUGGUGGGGUAAAUGCCUACCAAGGCUACGAUCUAUAGCUGGUCUGAGAGGACGAUCAGCCACACUGGGACUGAGACACGGCCCAGACUCCUACGGGAGGCAGCAGUGGGGAAUAUUGGACAAUGGGGGCAACCCUGAUCCAGCCAUGCCGCGUGAGUGAAGAAGGCCUUAGGGUUGUAAA